Molecule: long non-coding RNA, 1022 nt
Organism: Xenia sp. Carnegie-2017
Lineage: Eukaryota; Metazoa; Cnidaria; Anthozoa; Malacalcyonacea; Xeniidae
Exons: 2
Source: RefSeq, a predicted model, not a curated record
GAAACAUGAAAAAAGAGGGGAAAAAACAGAAUAUUUUCAAAGAAUGUAUAAAGUACUCUUUUCGUGGCCUAAAUUGAAGACAAUUAUGAUAGUUAGAACUCCAUCCAAAAGUGAUUCAGAAAGUUUGGUUUCUACAAAAUGCUACCGUAAUAAGUACGCUUGAAGCGUCUGACACACAUCUUACGUCAUCGAAAGUAACAAAACAGAUUUCGUCAACUAAGUAUGUCAUAUACAUUAAAUUUAUCUCGGGGUCUGAUUUACGACGCACGAUCUUUUAUCUUUUAUAAGAUGUCAGUAUGAUAAAUUAACCAACCACUGGGAUACCAAAUUUAUCAUUGUUAAUAAUUGAUAUAUUUUUAUAGCUCGUUAAAUGGCAAUCAUAACGACGUCAGCGGGUCGAUUUCUUAUUAAAUGCCAUUGAUAGGAACAACUACGUCUUUUGGUUGGAGGCAAUGUCUGCGUUAGGCCGGUUGUUUGGGGUUUACCGACUAGCGACAAGCAGCCAUGUUGGAGGUGUGAUACAAAAGAAUGUUUUAUCGAUGCUGUUGUCGACUCCAGCAGGCGUGGGCGAAUAUUAUUAUUUGGUUAAUCCCAAAGAAUUGGUUGAAAAUCAAGAAUUGAUGUUUGCGAUGGCUUGAGAAGCUAGCAUCGUUAUUGUAUCUUCAGCUAUUUAGCUUCAACAGUUUUCAGAAGAGGGUCAAGAUUAUGUGCACAAACGAAACGAAUUUUUAUUUAUCGAAAAUUACAUUUCUUGAGCUUCACCAGUCCAGAUUUCAAUGAUAUGAAGAGAUAUAAAGUAUAUAACAUAGUGGUAGCAGCAAUUUCGUCGUUUUUAUUCCUUCAAAAAGAUUCAGUAGACGGGCAUACGCCAAAGCGUACCUAUGUCUCAAACUUAGUCAACGGUGACGCACUAAGUAGCGAUUUAUGGUGUAUGUCGUCAAGAUGUUGCCCAAAAAAUAGUUUAAAUGAGGUGAUAAUUAUUUUAAUUAAUUAUAAUUCAGCAUAUAAAUUCAGCAUAUAAA